UGCCAGCAGCCGCGGUAAUACGGAGGAUCCAAGCGUUAUCCGGAUUCAUUGGGUUUAAAGGGUCCGUAGGCGGAUUUUUAAGUCAGUGGUGAAAGCCGACAGCUCAACUGUCGAACUGCCAUUGAUACUGGAAAUCUUGAGUACAAAUGAAGUAGGCGGAAUGUGUCAUGUAGCGGUGAAAUGCAUAGAUAUGACACAGAACACCGAUUGCGAAGGCAGCUCACUAAACUAUCACUGACGCUGAGGCACGAAAGCGUGGGUAGCGAACAGGAUUAGAUA
RNAcentral lists this ribosomal RNA (279 nucleotides) under uncultured bacterium. Its description in RNAcentral is "partial 16S ribosomal RNA". It matches the Rfam family "Bacterial small subunit ribosomal RNA", at positions 506 to 784 of the family's 1533-position model. The record is from RNAcentral.